This is a long non-coding RNA of Otolemur garnettii (small-eared galago), 1395 nucleotides long. RefSeq lists it as uncharacterized. The transcript has 3 exons. The record is from RefSeq and is a predicted model, not a curated record. NCBI's taxonomy places the organism in Eukaryota, Metazoa, Chordata, Mammalia, Primates, Galagidae.
AAUAUGUAACAGACACCAUCUGGCCUAAAAUAUUUAUUACCUGGCCCUUUACAUAAAAGUUUGUCAAUUCCAGUAUCAAUGAGUAUAGGCAGGAUCAAAUAAAACUGGCAAAAAAAAAGGGGUGGGAUAUUAUAUUCAUGGCUAGGAGGAUUGUACCAGGGCUGUGUGAUCCAGGAGAGAAGGGGUGAGGCAGGGGCAAGGGUGAGACCUGAAAGAGGAUAAGUAAUCAGCUAUGUAAAGAAGGAAAGGGUAUUCCAGGGAGAGGAAACGGUGUGUGCAAAGGCCUGGAUAUGAGAAAGAGAACUGCGUAGUGGUUUUGCUUGGCCACGGUGUAAGGAGACAGUAACAGUAAUAAAACAGGCCGCAUCGACUGAACUGUGGAUGACAGAGACUGUGCCAAUCACACAUUUUAAUUCAGGACAGGGGACGUUGCCCCGCUCUCUUAUAUAAUCGUCCUCCGCCAACUCUGUCAUCACCCCGUGUGCUAGAGAGCAGCCGAAGCUCAGAUAACUCGCGCCUGUCGUCUGUCCUCCCCUCUCCACCCUGCAAGGCCCUGGACAGUUCCCGUCCUUGACGCCGGCCUUACUGGAGUCCUGGGGGUCGCAGACCCGGGAGAAGCCUGGCGGGAGGGGGCUCUUGUCCACCACAAUCUGGAUAUCGGCCACUAUGUUCUCCUGAGGAUUCUGGAGGAAGGGAGACACAGUGAGGGUCACCCAACAGCAGGGACGGCGCUCCUGGCACAGGGCUAUGAGAAUGGUCACGAGCACCGGCGAAACUUGUUGGUCCAAAGCCUUGACGACUCCUAAAUGGACAGUAGGGGUGCAUGAGUUCCCUGUUCCAACUCUCUGCCUCGUUCUCUCCAGCACCAUUUCCAAAGGACUCAGUGUCUUUUAAGAGGAGUCACGUCUCCGCCUCUGCACAAGGAGCUCAUUUUUCUGCCCCUGUCUUACAACUACACCCUCCUCUGCUGCACAGCUGCCAGGACUUCAUCUUAGUGCCCUCACUAGGAAUUUGGUAAGUCUCCCGGGCUUUGGAAAUGGUCACAUACUCAAGAAUGAGUUCGCAGCUCUGCAAAACCCUGUGCCAGUUUGCCACUCUGUGAGAGAUGCAUGGGGCAGUGCUUCCUAAUCACCUCCUCCAGGCCACCCCCCAGAUCCACGGAUGCCUGGCUUUGGGGAAGCUCUUCUCUUCUGUUUCCUAUCAGUCUGACUCAAACUCAGGGAUACCCAGUGUGUGAACACCCAAACAUCUAGUGGGUGUAGCCUCUCUCAGACUCCCAGUAGUUCAAUAUAUGACCAUUCCUAUAGUCCUAAUUACCAUCAUGGGCAAUGUUCAAUUGGCCCCACCUAAACACUCCCCAUCAGGCUGUCUCCUUAAGAAUUUGAAAACUUUGGA